Molecule: ribosomal RNA, 513 nt
Filed under: Fusarium oxysporum
Lineage: Eukaryota; Fungi; Ascomycota; Sordariomycetes; Hypocreales; Nectriaceae
Description: eukaryotic LSU rRNA
Rfam family: 5.8S ribosomal RNA (bases 146-299)
Source: RNAcentral
GGCUUCGGCUUCCUCCAACCCCUGUGACAUACCACUUGUUGCCUCGGCGGAUCAGCCCGCUCCCGGUAAAACGGGACGGCCCGCCAGAGGACCCCUAAACUCUGUUUCUAUAUGUAACUUCUGAGUAAAACCAUAAAUAAAUCAAAACUUUCAACAACGGAUCUCUUGGUUCUGGCAUCGAUGAAGAACGCAGCAAAAUGCGAUAAGUAAUGUGAAUUGCAGAAUUCAGUGAAUCAUCGAAUCUUUGAACGCACAUUGCGCCCGCCAGUAUUCUGGCGGGCAUGCCUGUUCGAGCGUCAUUUCAACCCUCAAGCACAGCUUGGUGUUGGGACUCGCGUUAAUUCGCGUUCCUCAAAUUGAUUGGCGGUCACGUCGAGCUUCCAUAGCGUAGUAGUAAAACCCUCGUUACUGGUAAUCGUCGCGGCCACGCCGUUAAACCCCAACUUCUGAAUGUUGACCUCGGAUCAGGUAGGAAUACCCGCUGAACUUAAGCAUAUCAAUAAGCGGAGGAAA